CCUACGGGAGGCAGCAGUGAGGAAUAUUGGUCAAUGGACGAGAGUCUGAACCAGCCAAGUAGCGUGAAGGAUGACUGCCCUAUGGGUUGUAAACUUCUUUUAUAUGGGAAUAAAAUGUUCCACGUGUGGGAUUUUGUAUGUACCAUAUGAAUAAGAAUCGGCUAACUCCGUGCCAGCAGCCGCGGUAAUACGGAGGAUCCGAGCGUUAUCCGGAUUUAUUGGGUUUAAAGGGAGCGUAGGUGGAUUGUUAAGUCAGUUGUGAAAGUUUGCGGAUCAACCGUAAAAUUGCAGUUGAAACUGGCAGUCUUGAGUACAGUAGAGGUGGGCGGAAUUCGUGGUGUAGCGGUGAAAUGCUUAGAUAUCACGAAGAACUCCGAUUGCGAAGGCAGUUCACUGGACUGCAACUGACACUGAGGCUCGAAAGUGUGGGUAUCAAACAGGAUUAGAUACCCCUGUAGUC
This 460-nucleotide ribosomal RNA is filed under the name uncultured bacterium. RNAcentral's name for it is "partial 16S ribosomal RNA". It matches the Rfam family "Bacterial small subunit ribosomal RNA", at positions 338 to 795 of the family's 1533-position model. The record is from RNAcentral.